AACGAACGCUGGCGGCAGGCCUAACACAUGCAAGUCGAACGCCCUAGCAAUAGGGAGUGGCGCACGGGUGCGUAACGCGUGGGAAUAUGCCCUUCACUGCGGAAUAACGUUUGGAAACGAACGCUAAUACCGCAUAAUGACUCCGGUCCAAAGAUUUAUCGGUGAAGGAUUAGCCCGCGUUAGAUUAGCUAGUUGGUGAGGUAAUGGCUCACCAAGGCGACGAUCUAUAGCUGGUCUGAGAGGAUGAUCAGCCACACUGGGACUGAGACACGGCCCAGACUCCUACGGGAGGCAGCAGUGAGGAAUAUUGGACAAUGGGCGCAACCCUGAUCCAGCCAUGCCGCGUGAGUGAUGAAGGCCUCGGUGUAAGCUCUUUGUCGGGACGAUGAUGACGGUACCCGCAGAAUAAGCCCCGGCUAACUUCGUGCCAGCAGCCGCGGUAAU
This 444-nucleotide ribosomal RNA is filed under the name uncultured bacterium. RNAcentral's name for it is "bacterial SSU rRNA". It matches the Rfam family "Bacterial small subunit ribosomal RNA", at positions 29 to 524 of the family's 1533-position model. The record is from RNAcentral.